GCCUUCGUGGUGUAGUGGUCAGCACGCUCGACGCGCAACCGAGAGGUCCGUGGUUCGAUUCCUGGCGAAGACG
Molecule: transfer RNA, 73 nt
Filed under: Stegodyphus mimosarum
Lineage: Eukaryota; Metazoa; Arthropoda; Arachnida; Araneae; Eresidae
Rfam family: tRNA
About the family: Transfer RNA (tRNA) molecules are approximately 80 nucleotides in length.
Source: Rfam by way of RNAcentral